CAAUAGCGUAUAUUAAAGUUGUUGCAGUUAGAACGCUCGUAGUCGGAUUUCGGGGCGGGCCGACCGGUCUGCCGAUGGGUAUGCACUGGUCGGCGCGUCCUUCCUUCCGGAGACCGUCCCUACUCUUAACUGAGCGGGGGCGGGAGACGGGACUUUUACUUUGAAAAAAUCAGAGUGUUUCAAGCAGGCAGCUCGCUCUUGCAUGGAUUAGCAUGGAAUAAUGAAAUAGGACUUUGGUGCUAUUUUGUUGGUUUCGAACACCGAAGUAAUGAUGAGAAGGGACAGUCAGGGGCACUCGUAUUCCGCCGAGAGAGGUGAAAUUCUCAGACCAGCGGAAGACGAACCACUGCGAAAGCAUUUGCCAGGGAUGUUUUCACUGA
Molecule: ribosomal RNA, 380 nt
Filed under: uncultured eukaryote
Lineage: Eukaryota
Description: partial 18S ribosomal RNA
Rfam family: Eukaryotic small subunit ribosomal RNA
Source: RNAcentral